GAUGAAGAACGCAGCGAAAUGCGAUAAGUAGUGUGAAUUGCAGAAUUCAGUGAAUCAUCGAAUCUUUGAACGCACAUUGCGCCCCUUGGUAUUCCAUGGGGCAUGCCUGUUCGAGCGUCAUUUGUACCUUCAAGCCUUGCUUGGUGUUGGGCGUUUGUCUCGCCUCUGCGCGCAGACUCGCCUCAAAACAAUUGGCAGCCGGCGUAUUGAUUUCGGAGCGCAGUACAUCUCGCGCUUUGCACUCAGAACGACGACGUCCAAAAGUACAUUUUUACACUCUUGACCUCGGAUCAGGUAGGGAUACCCGCUGAACUUAAGCAUAUCAAUAAGCGGAGGA
This 337-nucleotide unclassified non-coding RNA is filed under the name soil metagenome. RNAcentral's name for it is "partial contains 5.8S ribosomal RNA, internal transcribed spacer 2, and large subunit ribosomal RNA". The stretch from base 1 to 120 matches the Rfam family "5.8S ribosomal RNA", at positions 35 to 154 of the family's 154-position model. The record is from RNAcentral.